This 433-nucleotide ribosomal RNA is filed under the name uncultured bacterium. Its description in RNAcentral is "partial 16S ribosomal RNA". It matches the Rfam family "Bacterial small subunit ribosomal RNA", at positions 29 to 507 of the family's 1533-position model. The record is from RNAcentral.
AACGAACGCUGGCGGCAUGCCUAACACAUGCAAGUCGAACGAGACCUUCGGGUCUAGUGGCGCACGGGUGCGUAAUGCGUGGGAACCUGCCCUUAGGUUCGGAAUAACUCCCCGAAAGGGGUGCUAAUACCGGAUAAUGUCUUCGGACCAAAGAUUUAUCGCCUUUGGAUGGGCCCGCGUUGGAUUAGCUAGUUGGUAGGGUAAAAGCCUACCAAGGCGACGAUCCAUAGCUGGUCUGAGAGGAUGAUCAGCCACACUGGGACUGAGACACGGCCCAGACUCCUACGGGAAGCAGCAGUGGGGAAUAUUGGACAAUGGGCGAAAGCCUGAUCCAGCAAUGCCGCGUGAGUGAUGAAGGCCUUAGGGUUGUAAAGCUCUUUUACCCGGGAUGAUAAUGACAGUACCGGGAGAAUAAGCUCCGGCUAACUCCGUG